UGGGGAUGACGUCAAAUCAUCAUGCCCCUUAUGUUCUGGGCUACACACGUGCUACAAUGGCCGGUACAGACGGACGCAAAGCCGCGAGGUGGAGCAAAUCCUAAAAAGCCGGUCUCAGUUCGGAUUGCAGGCUGCAAUUCGCCUGCAUGAAGUCGGAAUCGCUAGUAAUCGCAGGUCAGCAUACUGCGGUGAAUACGGUUCCCGGGCCUU
This 210-nucleotide ribosomal RNA is filed under the name uncultured Bacillus sp. RNAcentral's name for it is "partial 16S ribosomal RNA". It matches the Rfam family "Bacterial small subunit ribosomal RNA", at positions 1174 to 1382 of the family's 1533-position model. Lineage: Bacteria; Bacillati; Bacillota; Bacilli; Caryophanales; Bacillaceae. The record is from RNAcentral.